AUGCCGCCUCGGAUGUGUUGCUGCCGGCCCCUGUUGCCUCUGUCAAUGGGGACGACUGUCAAUGGGGACGACGUAGGCUGUGAAGAGGAAAUGGCCGUGACGCUGCCUCCACGGGCGGUGUUGUGGGCCUCCGCUGCUGACGACGAUGAAGAUGAAGAUGACGAAGAGGAGUUGGCUCCCCAGACACCGCAGGCUGCCACCAAGGCCCUCGAUUCUGGAGGGAUGUGCGUGGGGCAUGAUGCAGACACAAAUGAGGGUUGGCAGGAGGUGCUACCACGGCGCGGGCCGCGCCCGACUUCAUCGCCUUCCUCGACAAUGGCUCCUCGUCCCAUCCCUGCUUGGCUUCGCGGUAGAUGUUACAGAUGCUUCGCUCAUGGUCAUCGCGCGGCUGUUUGCAAAGAGCCGUUGCGGUGCUCCCGUUGUUUGGAGAACGGUCAUCGUGCGCGUGGAUGUUGCAACCCAUGGCGUCCUCUAAGCUCACUGCCAUGCAAUGAUGUGCCGCUCGUGUCGCAGCUCGACAUCGUGCAUCGUCCUGCUCUUGCUUCAUGUGAGGGUCCGAUGAGAUCCGCACUCCCAUCCAAGGCGCUUCAUCGUGGGUCUUGGGCGUCUGUCGUCUCUGGUUGUCUGGCGCGUGUUGGGAGCUUUUUAGAGCGAGCGGAGGCUGCUCUGAGUAGACUCUCCCUUGCACCGGCUAUGUUGCAGACCUCUCUGACGCCGCACUCUCCUUGUGCGGCCGGUGUUUGCUCCGCGGAGGAGAGGGGGGCGAAGUUAUAUGGCUCCUUCUCCCCUCGUGUUGGAGACAAUUCACCCUCGAUGCCUACCUCCCAUCCUAUGUUGUCUUCCACUAAGGGCGAGUCCAUUGCCAUGCUUGUGGCUCCGGUACUGCAGGUCAUGCCCGAGCUUAGGGAGCUAUGUCUGAGUUUGUCAGUGGACACGUCGACGACCUCGAGCGAGGGUCAAGAUUCACCUUUGUCAAGUGAGCAGCUGGAGGUUCCUAUGGUUGACGAUGCGAGAGGGAAGGCAUCCGUGAUGUCAUGA
This 1038-nucleotide ribosomal RNA is filed under the name Triticum aestivum (bread wheat). Its description in RNAcentral is "partial small subunit ribosomal RNA". Lineage: Eukaryota; Viridiplantae; Streptophyta; Magnoliopsida; Poales; Poaceae. The record is from RNAcentral.